UGCCCCUGCCACCUUGGUCCGCAUCUCCGCGAACUCGCGGCGGUGAGCUUUCACCUCGGCCUUGAGGCUGUCCACCUCUUUGCGCAGGCGGCCAUUAUCAACGCGGAGCUUUCGCGUCUCCUCGGCUUCUGUCCGAGAUGCUAAGGCGUCUACAAUGCCCUGCAGUGCAGCCGCCGACUCCCUCAGCCUCUUUGCAAAGCCUCCUUUUAAGUUAGAGGAUUUUUGGGCCACCUCCACAAUGAGAGCUGCGCUUCGGCCAGCUUGUGCUCGAAGUUCCUCCGCACCCAACUUCGUGGGAUCCUCGGUGUGUACAUCUGAGGAAGAGGAUUCCUCGGAGUCCAAAACAACCUGAGGAGCGUCCUUUCGAAACGCUCGACUACGCAGCGAUCGCUCGAAGGCUUCCUCUCUGGCUUCGUUGGCCUUGGCUUUCAGCUCAGCCUUAGCCCGAGCAAGACCACUACCACGUCCUUUCGCGGUUUUGCCGCGAAUGGCAGGCUUGUUCUUCGCAGCUAACCUCGUCUCCGUCUCCGUGUCAGAGUCAGAGUUAAAAAUAGCAAGGCCCCCAACAAAAGAGCGGAAGA
Vanessa atalanta (red admiral) is the source of this 581-nucleotide long non-coding RNA. RefSeq lists it as uncharacterized. NCBI's taxonomy places the organism in Eukaryota, Metazoa, Arthropoda, Insecta, Lepidoptera, Nymphalidae. The record is from RefSeq and is a predicted model, not a curated record. The transcript is spliced from 3 exons.